CUACGGGUUGCUCCAGUGAGGAAUAUUGCACAAUGGGGGGAACCCUGAUGCAGCAACGCCGCGUGGAGGAUGACGCAUUUCGGUGUGUAAACUCCUUUUAUAUGUCAAGAAAAUGACGGUAGCAUAUGAAUAAGCACCGGCUAACUCCGUGCCAGCAGCCGCGGUAAUACGGAGGGUGCAAGCGUUACUCGGAAUCACUGGGCGUAAAGGACGCGUAGGCGGGUUGGAAAGUCAGGUGUGAAAUCCUACAGCUUAACUGUAGAACUGCACUUGAAACUUCUAAUCUAGAGUAUGGGGGGGGAGAUGGAAUUAGUGGUGUAGGGGUAAAAUCCGUAGAUAUCACUAGGAAUACCUAAAGCGAAGGCGAUCUCCUGGAACAUUACUGACGCUAAGGCGUGAAAGCGUGGGGAGCAAACAGGAUUAGAUACCCCCGGUAGUC
Molecule: ribosomal RNA, 439 nt
Filed under: uncultured bacterium
Lineage: Bacteria
Description: partial 16S ribosomal RNA
Rfam family: Bacterial small subunit ribosomal RNA
Source: RNAcentral